GUACGUUGACGUCCGUGGCACGAGACGACGCUGGCGGCGUGCCUAAUACAUGCAAGUCGAGCGGGGUUCGGCGAGCCUUCGGGCUUGCCCGGACCAGCGGCGGACGGGUGAGUAACACGUGGGCAACCUGCCCGCAGGACCGGGAUAACUGGCGGAAACGUCGGCUAAUACCGGAUACGACGGCCUGCUCGCAUGAGGGGGCCGUGAAAGGCGCAAUUGCGCCGCCUGCGGAUGGGCCCGCGGCGCAUUAGCUAGUUGGCGGGGUAACGGCCCACCAAGGCGACGAUGCGUAGCCGGCCUGAGAGGGUGAUCGGCCACACUGGGACUGAGACACGGCCCAGACUCCUACGGGAGGCAGCAGUAGGGAAUCUUCGGCAAUGGACGAAAGUCUGACCGAGCAACGCCGCGUGAGUGAGGAAGGUCUUCGGAUCGUAAAGCUCUGUUGCCAGGGAAGAACGGGCAGGGGAGUGGAAAGCCCCUGUCGUGACGGUACCUGAGAAGAAAGCCCCGGCUAACUACGUG
RNAcentral lists this ribosomal RNA (522 nucleotides) under uncultured Caryophanales bacterium. Its description in RNAcentral is "bacterial SSU rRNA". It matches the Rfam family "Bacterial small subunit ribosomal RNA", at positions 33 to 507 of the family's 1533-position model. Lineage: Bacteria; Bacillati; Bacillota; Bacilli; Caryophanales. The record is from RNAcentral.